Molecule: long non-coding RNA, 1536 nt
Organism: Ziziphus jujuba (common jujube)
Lineage: Eukaryota; Viridiplantae; Streptophyta; Magnoliopsida; Rosales; Rhamnaceae
Exons: 2
Source: RefSeq, a predicted model, not a curated record
AGAGAGAGAGAGAGAGAGAGAGAGAGAGCAUGAAAUAGAAAGAACCAUAUGUGACACUGACACACCACUUUCAUCAACAGGAUCAUACUAACAUAAAAUUAUUUAUUGUCACUUGUCAUUUUUGUGAGAGCUAGCUUACAUAGUUUGGACCAUACUAUGGUACGAAAAAUUAAUUGUCUAGCUAAUCUUCUUUUUGGAUCUUACAGAAUGCUGAGGUUAUAGGUUAUAACCUCAUUAAUUGUAGCUGUUUUUUCCAUUGUGUGAGAAGCCCUUAGUUAUUCAAUUUGGCUGAAUGUAGUAGAGAUUUUAGUGAGCUUAUACAAUUAUUAUCGUCCACUUGCUUUCCACUAACUCGAAAAUACUCCUCUCUCAAUCUCUCAGAAUAAAAGAGAGAGCACUAUUUUCAAUAUAUAUAAAUUUAGAUAACCUUGCCUUGGGAGUGGCUUAGCUGGCACACUACACGUGUAGUCAAAAGGCAAAGUCGGUUUUUCUUCAAAUGAGCUUGUGGCUGAUUUUAAUCGAUCUAGAACCAUCCAAGUUUUACUUUAUUUUACAGCCACAUGUUUUUAACUUGUGAGGACACCUAUAAUCACUUUCUUUCUUAGCUAUCUCUAUGUAGCUUUAUCUGCUAACCAAAUCUAAAACUUUCAUAGAUGAUCAUCAGCCUAGAGAUAGGUGAUAAAAUUUCACCCGCAGUUGGCAAAGCAAUCGAUGAAUCCAUAAUCUUGGUAAUCAAUUUUUUCAGGAAAAAAUGCUCAGUCGACAUGGUGUUUGGUUGAGCUAAUGCAAAUUCUUGGAUGCAAAUAAAAGAAAUGAGCAGAGGAUAACAAUUUAUCCAUUUCUUUAUUUGUACCAGUUCAUCCAAACACCAUGUGGACGAAGCAUAAUUUUAGGAGAAAAAUGAUUACCGAAAUCUUGGAUUCCUCAGUCCGUUGCUUUAGUUUUGUCUGCAAGUGGUUUCACGUCACUGAAGAACAUAUCAAAUUGGAGGGAUCCAGUGUUCCACGAUCUGGAUAUCACUGAAUAGUUUUUGUUUCUCUCAUGGUACUGACUUUUAUUGUGGCUGGGAAUAAUUGGAUCAGAAUACAUGCAAUACCAUAAUCGCAGAUCAUGCAGUAAUUAAAAUUCUGGUUCGUAUAAAAUUUGGAGCAACUGUAUGGCAGCCCGAACCCAGUAGAUGUGAUUGUAAUUCCAAAGCCGUUCACCAAUCAAACUUUUAGGACUUCAAUCAAUAUUAAGUUUAUAUAAUCUGAUUUAGUACUAGUUUGCUUACUGGGCUACAACAAAGUUUUUUUAGCAGUUAAUAUCUAUGCUUCUGUCAUUUUUUGUUGAAUACUAUAAGGACCUUUUCUCCAGCAUCAUAAUCUAGAAUAGCAUCAUAAUCUUGUUAUUCGUUGUACAGCUUAUUUUUCAUUUUCUGUAUUGUUCUUUUUUUAUGUAACAAGUGUAAUAUUUUAUUUUCUUGUUUGUGCUGCAAGUGUGUAUGUUGUGACACUGCUUUAUAUAUGAAAAAUAUCAAUCUAACACUGCUUUAUA